GGGGAUUUAGCUCAGUGGUAGAGCGCUUGCCUCAAAUGCAAGGCCCUGGGUUCGGUCCCCAGCUCCG
This 67-nucleotide transfer RNA is filed under the name Rattus norvegicus (Norway rat). It matches the Rfam family "tRNA". Rfam says of the family: Transfer RNA (tRNA) molecules are approximately 80 nucleotides in length. Their secondary structure includes four short double-helical elements and three loops (D, anti-codon, and T loops). Further hydrogen bonds mediate the characteristic L-shaped molecular structure. tRNAs have two regions of fundamental functional importance: the anti-codon, which is responsible for specific mRNA codon recognition, and the 3' end, to which the tRNAs corresponding amino acid is attached (by aminoacyl-tRNA synthetases). tRNAs cope with the degeneracy of the genetic code in two manners: having more than one tRNA (with a specific anti-codon) for a particular amino acid; and 'wobble' base-pairing, i.e. permitting non-standard base-pairing at the 3rd anti-codon position. The record is from Rfam by way of RNAcentral. Lineage: Eukaryota; Metazoa; Chordata; Mammalia; Rodentia; Muridae.